GUGUUAGGAGAGAUGACAACAAAAUUGCCCACUUACUUGCAAAAAAUACUUUGACCAUUUCCGAACUCAUUGUAACCAUGGAGGACUCUCCCCCUUGGAUUUAUCCACUUUUGUAAUGAAAUGGCAUAAGGGUACUCCCCUUUUUCAAAAAAAAAAAAACCCAACGCCGCUUAACUCAACAUCUUCUCCUCCUCGCCAAUGUCGUCUGCCUAUUUCUCUGUUGCAGGUUCUCCGUCGGAAGCUGUUGUAGUCUCUUAAUCUCCUCGAUGUGGGUCAUCCAGUACAGUCUUAGAAUUGAGUCUAAUCCGAAAGCAUCAGAGUCGUCUGGUUCUAAUUCGAGACGAUGAGUGCUGUCAAUGUCACCAACGUUACCGUUUUGGACAACCCCGCUGCGUUCCUUAAUCCCUUCCAGUUCGAGAUCUUCUCCGAGUUCUUCGCCCCACGUAAAGAUGAUUUGGAAUGGAAACUCAUAUAUGUGGGGUAGUUUGCCAAAGAUUUCUCUGCUGGGUAUACAAAGACGGGGAAAGCAUCUUAAAAUUUCGAUUGAUAAAUCAAUGGUCAGAUUUCUCAUUUGCGUUAUUGUCAGGCAGUUUGUCAAAUGAGAUAAUGAGGACUUGGACCAGCUGGAUUUCAUGUAUUUCCUUCCUAUCAGUAGCCAGAACCCUUCUCUCUCUCUCCAUCGUGUCGAUCCACUCUCCUCUAAGGAGAAUAUUACUCCAAUUGGCUCAAAGAUGGUGGUAAUUUCAACUUCGUGCCUUUUUUUCUGUAUCUGUUUAUCAUAACUAGUGUUUCAUUUGUUUGCUUAGAAAAACUUAAUGGGUUUUUUAUUAAUUUGCUUGAUUGAGGUUUAGAUUUUUUAUUUUAUUUUUUUGAGCUAAUUAGGAUUUGCAAUAUAACUUAUCAUUAUAUUAUUUUUCAAGAAACACACUAAAGUGGAAGAUACAAACCUGAAAGGGCCCGUGAAGACUAUUACAGAUAGUGUAAAUUUAUUUUACAUUUUAAUCACAUGUAAUCAAGUGCACAGUAGACUUAGCAUGUACUCUAGUUAUUGUUACCCUGCUUUAUAUUUCCGGGUACAGUUCACUUUCAAUACAAGAUUCUAGAAUACUCUUCCAUCCUCAUUUUCUUCUUAUCAUGGUAUUAGAUGAAACCCUAACCCUAACUCACUAAAGCGCUGUCAUGCCCAUCCCUAUAGAUGAAUCAUCUUCUUCUUCUGUGCUCCUUUCUCAUUCUUCUGUUGAUUACUUGAAUCCAUAUUUUCUUCAAAGUGGUGAUCGUCUGGGAGCCAUGCUCGUCUCCCAACCACUGAAUGGUGAUAACUAUCUCACAUGGAAUUGGUCAAUGUCUAUGGCCUCAUCACAAAAAACAAACUCUGUUUUGUUAAUGGUGCUUUGACGUUGCCUGAUGAGAAUGAUCCGAUGUAUCAUGCUUGGAUUCAUCAUAAUAUUGUUGUUCUUUCUUGGUUACUCAAUGCUUUAUUGAAAGAAAUCACAUCCUCUAUCAUUUACAUGGACUCUGCGGAAGAGAUGAGGAAUGAUUUAAAGGAGCGAUUUGCUCAAAGCAAUCAUCCUCGUAUUUUCUAGAUCCGGAAAGCCAUUGCAUCUUUGUUUCAAGAAACCACCUCUGUAAGUUCAUACUUUACUCGUUUGAAAAGUUUAUGAGAAGAAAUGAUUCAUUUUCGACCCCUGCCUCCUUGUUCUUGUGGAGCUAUCAAACGGAUUGUUGAAUACCAGCAAGAGGACUAUGUCCUGCAGUUCUUAAUGGGGCUUCAUGAGUCUUAUGCUCCUUUACAAAGUUAGAUUCUACUUUCUGACCCUUUUCCCCCUAUUAAUAAGGUGUUUUCUCUUAAUUCUUCAAGAAGAAAAAUAGAGAGAGAUUGUUUCUAAUUCUUUAUGUUCUAAUGAUGUUGUUGCUAUGUUGACUAAUUGUGAUUCUAGAAUAUGAAAGAUUCUGUUGGAACCCGAAAUGGCAAACAACUUGUAAAUCAUAAGGAACGGCCUUAGUGUACUCAUUGUGGUCUAUCGAGCCAUAUGAUUGAUAAAUGCUAUAAGAUCCAUGGGUAUCCACCUGGAUACAAGGCAAGGAUCAGAAACCCUAAUGCCAAUCAGGCCACUGUUAACAAUCUAAUUCAGAUUCAGUUAUGGUUUCAAAUUUCCCAUUUUCUCAAGAGCAAUGUCAACAGCUCCUUACAUUUCUUCAAACUAGUCAAACUAAUCCUUUUUCUGUGAAUCAAGUAAUUACAGUUUCAUCCACUUUUAUACCUGUAUCUUUACCCUCGGUUGCACAACCUUUUUUCCGGUAUUUCCAUUACUAAUUCAUAUCAGCCUUUCAGUUUAUCAACUGUUGAUACAAUUGCAUUUCAUCAACAGUCUUGGAUUCUUGGUUCUGGAGCCACUGACCAUAUGAUUGGUUCAUUUUCUCUUUUUACUUCAUUACCAACCCGUCAAUAAAUCUGUGAAAUUGCGUAAUGGUUCUUGUAUUCAAGCUACACAUAUGGGUAUGGUUAGACUUUCUGAUUCUCUAAUUCUAACUGAUGUGCUAUAUGUUCCCACAUUUACAUUCAAUCUCAUUUCAGUUAGCAAGUUAAUUUCCCAGUUUUCUUGUUUUCUUUUAUUCUUACAUGGCUUUUGUUAUAUUCAGGACCUCUUCAAUUGGAGGACAAUUGGAGUAGCUAAACUUUCUCAAGGUUUAUAUCACUUACUGCAAGUUCCAGGCACCUAUAUUUCUUGUAAUUCAAAUACUUUUUCCCAUUGUAAUUUUGUCAAAAACAGUUAUCAUAUUUGGCACUGUCGCCUUGGACAUAUUUCUGAUUCUAGAUUCAAUAAUUUGUCCUCUGAUAUUUCCUGCUUUACAGUUCCAAAUAAUAGUCAUUGUGAUGUUUGUCCACUUGCUACACAGAAAAGACUUCCUUUUCCAUUAAGUUCAUCAACCUCUAGUUCUAUAUUUGAACUCAUUCAUUGUGAUGUUUGGGGGCCUUUUUCAAUUACUUCAUAUGAUGGUUUUAUAUUUUUUUUUUCUCACUAUAGUAGAUGAUUACAGUCGAUGUACUUGAAUAUAUUUGCUCAAAUCGAAGUCUGAGACACGUUCAUAUCUACAAUCCUUUUUUGCCUUUGAGGAAACUCAGUUUAAUUGUAAAAUCAAAACUAUUCGAAUUGAUAAUGCUUUAGAAUUUGAAAUGAAAUCUUUUUUUUUUUUCUAGCAAAGGAGUUGUACACCAACACAGUUUUGUUUACACUCCUUAGCAAAAUGCUAUCGUUGAAAGAAAACAUUAGCAUAUUCUUAAUGUUGCUAGAUAUCUUCAUUUUCAAUCAAAUAUUUCUUUACAGUUUUGGAGUGAUUGUGUUCUCACUACUGUUUAUCUUAUAAAAAGCAUUCCCAUGCCUAUUUUACACAAAAAUCUCCAUACGAAGUACUUUUUUCUGUUAAACCUCAGUAAAAACAUCUGUUUUUGUUGUCUUUGUUAUGCAUCUUCACUUGGUAUUUCUUCUUCUACCAAGUUCUCUGCUCGGGCUCAAGUUUGUGUAUUUUUGGGAUAUCCUGCUGGUAUAAAAGGAUAUAAAUUGUAUAAUCUUCACUCAUAAGAUCAUCAUUUCUAGAGAUCUCAUAUUUCAUGAACAUCUUUUUCCUUUCAAACCAGAUUCACCUUAUCAUCACCUCAUUCCUGAAACACAGAAUUCUCCCUCAUGCACAAAUCUGGUUCUACCAGUUUCUCUUUCAGAUGCUUCUAUUUCUCCUUCUUCAAAUCAUUCUCCACCCAUUCAAUCUAAUACUUCUCAGAAUUCACCACCACAAAAUUUUAUUCAAAAGUCCACAAGAAAUAGAAGACUACCUGAUUACUUACAGGACUAUCAUUGUUCCUUGAUCUCAAUUAAUAAAGUUACUAGUUCUUCUCUGGUUGAUGGUUCUUUCGCUUCAGGUACUCCUUAUUCUAUUUCUUCAUAUUUGUCAUAUUCUAAAUUCUCUUCCUCCUAUAAAUAUCCCUUUAUGAACCCAAAUUCUUUCAUCAAGCUAUUAAAUAUCCCCAUUGGAGAAAUGCAAUGGCAGAUGAAAUCAAUGCUCUUGAAGCUUAUAAAACUUGGAUCCUAACUGACUUACCUCCUGGCAAGCAGCCUAUUAGUUGUAGAUGGGUUUACAAGUUCAAGUUGAAAUCUGAUGGCACUCUUGAAAGGCAUAAGGCUCAGUUGGUUGCAAAAGGGUAUACUCAGAGUAAGGGAAUUGAUUACUUUGAUACUUUUUCUCUUGUUGCUGAGCUAACCACUGUUCAUUGCUUCCUUUUAUUAGCUGCUAUACACAAUUGGGAGUUGCACCAAUUGGAUGUUAAUAAUGCUUUUCUUCAUGGUAAUUUGGAUGAAGAAGUAUACAUGAAACUUCCUCCUGGUUUUUCUAAACCUGGAGAUCCUUGGGUGUGUAAGCUGCUCAAGUCUCUAUAUGGUUUGAAAUAAGCCUCUCGUCAAUGGUUUUCUAAAGUUUCUUUCGCUUUGGUUGCUUAUGGAUUUACUCAGUCAAAUUCUGAUUAUUCCUUGUUUGCUAAAUGUUCUGGUGACUCUUUUGUGGCACUACUGGUAUAUGUGGAUGAUAUUGUUAUAGCUUCCAAUCAUUCACAAACUGUUAUUGAUCCUAAAGGUAUUUCAAGUCUUCAUUUCAAGCUGAAAGAUCUUAGUGUUUUGAGGUAUUUUUUGGGAUUGGAAGUUGCAAGAUCUGCUAAGGAUAUUUCUCUUUCUCAAAGGAAGCAUGCUCUUGAAAUAAUUUCUGAUUCUAGUAUAUUGGCUGCUAAACCUGCUAGCCGUCCAAUGGAUCAAAACUUAAGACUUUCCAAAACAGAAUCUUUCCUUUAAUUGAUGAUCGAGCCUCUUACAGAAGAUUAAUUGGUCGUCUUCUUUAUUUGACACUUACACGACUUGACUUGUCUUUUUUGUUACUACUUUGAGUUAGUUUUUGGAUCAUCCUCGAUAGUCUCACUAUGAUGCAGUUGUUGAAGUGAUCAGAUACAUCAAAGCUACUGUAGGCCAAGGAUUGUUCUUCCCCAGCAACUCUUCCUUACAACUUUGAGGAUUUUGUGAUUUUGAUUGGGCCACCUGUCCUGAUUCUAGAAGAUCAGUUACUGGAUUAUGCCUUUUCCUUAGUGAUUUAUUAAUUUCAUGGAAGUCCAAGAAGCAAGUUACUGUCUCCAGAUCCUCUGCUGAAGCAGAGUACCGUUCUAUGGCUUCCACAUGUUGUGAAAUCAAAUGGCUUAUUUCUCUUUUUCCUGAUUUUGGCAUCUCAUUUCCUUCUCCAUCUGUUCUUUAUUGUGAUAGUCAAGCAACCAUCCAUAUUGCUACUAAUCCAUUUUUUCAUGAAAGAACUAAGCAUAUUGAAAUAGAUUGUCAUUUAGUUAGAGAUAUGAUUCAUUCAAAAUGGUAAAGUUUUAACUAAUCAUGUUUCUUCUGAACAUCAGUUAGCAGAUUUUUUAACUAACCCUUUAGCUUCUGAUAGCUUUCGUGUAUCUCUCAGCAAGCUGGGUGUCCUUAAUUUGUACAUUCCAUUUCGAGGGGGCUAUUACAGAUAUUGUAUAAAUUUAUUUUACAUUUUAAUCACAUGUAAUCACGCGCACAGUAGACUUAGCAUGUACUCUAGUUAUUUUUACUCUGAUUUAUAUUUCGGUGUACAGUUCACUUUUAAUACGAGAUUCUAGAAUACUCUUCCUCUUCAAUUCCCGUUUCCUCAUUUUCCUCUUAUCAAAGACCUCCAAAAUAGAAUUGAUAUCCUACGAGAGCAAGCACAAGUCAGGCAACCUCGAUCACUUUAACAAGUUUAAAAAGGUAUGCUCAGUUGCUUGUGACUCUUGCAUGUCUUCAAAAGAUUAAAAAGGGUUUUUGCUUAGAUAGAAUCGGGAUUAUGUUGAAAGGAAAGAUUAGAAUUUACAAUUAUACUUGAAAACAGCAAUUUAAGUCUGAUGGUAUAUUGGUACAUGUAUCUUGUAGUUCAGCAUCACUAAUCGCUGCAGUUAUAAAUUGACUGGUACCGGUCUGAUAAAAUGGAAAGACGACAAAAUUUUAAUUUUAAUUUUUUUUAUAUGUUUUUUGCUGCAUUGGGAUUUGGAAAAUUUGAGAAACCAAAGAAUCGGGGCCAAAUAGUUGAAUUAAUAUCACUUGAGUGGAGGUUUUGGUUCUUUAAGUCCCAUUUGUUAAAUUGUUAAAUUCUCGAGUUGUGAAAGUGCUAUAAUGAUUAUUUUGGGACUUUGGCCUUCAUCUGCUACUCAUCCAGUAAAUGUUGAUUGUCUUUUGUAGGUUUACUCCUUCAAUGUCUCGCAGGCAGCUCUUUAGAGAUAUGCUAUGCUAGAGGACCAAAGACCUGAAAGUGGUAACCUUUGUUAUGAUGACCAUGGUGAUGCAUGUACCUACUCAAAUUUGCUUGAUGUGGACUGGCUUUUUUCAUCUGCAAAUUCUUGUGAUAUGAAAGGUCUAUCACCAGCCUUUCAUCAGAAAAUUUUGUGGAUGGACUGAAACUGGGAACUACCACAUCUGCUGGGUACUGUGUUGUUGGAUCAUAAUGACCCUUCUGUCCUUAGAUGAUUUGUUUAAUUUAAAGUACAUAAAUUUUUAUUGAAUUUAAAAGUUUUGGUUGAACUUUCUCGUCGGUUGCUCUUUGAGAUUGAUUUUUCCUCCCUGAAUCGAUUUAUGUAUCACAUGAAGAGAAUUAUAAUCUAUAUGAUAAACGCAUAAUAAGUAUUUUAUAGUA
Carya illinoinensis is the source of this 6717-nucleotide long non-coding RNA. RefSeq lists it as uncharacterized. The record is from RefSeq and is a predicted model, not a curated record. NCBI's taxonomy places the organism in Eukaryota, Viridiplantae, Streptophyta, Magnoliopsida, Fagales, Juglandaceae. The transcript has 5 exons.